UGGGGAAUUUUGGACGAAUUGGGCGAAAGCCUGAUCCAGCAAUGCCGCGUGUGUGAAGAAGGCCUUCGGGUUGUAAAGCACUUUUGUCCGGAAAGAAAUCCUUGGCUCUAAUACAGUCGGGGGAUGACGGUACCGGAAGAAUAAGCACCGGCUAACUACGUGCCAGCAGCCGCGGUAAUACGUAGGGUGCAAGCGUUAAUCGGAAUUACUGGGCGUAAAGCGUGCGCAGGCGGUUUGCUAAGACCGAUGUGAAAUCCCCGGGCUCAACCUGGGAACUGCAUUGGUGACUGGCAGGCUAGAGUAUGGCAGAGGGGGGUUAGAAUUCCACGUGUAGCAGUGAAAUGCGUAGAGAUGUGGAGGAAUACCGAUGGCGAAGGCAGCCCCCUGGGCCAAGUACUGACGCUCAUGCACGAAAGCGUGGGGAGCAAACGGAUUUAAUNCCCUGGGUAGUCCACG
Molecule: ribosomal RNA, 456 nt
Filed under: uncultured bacterium
Lineage: Bacteria
Description: partial 16S ribosomal RNA
Rfam family: Bacterial small subunit ribosomal RNA
Source: RNAcentral